Molecule: long non-coding RNA, 3517 nt
Organism: Gallus gallus (chicken)
Lineage: Eukaryota; Metazoa; Chordata; Aves; Galliformes; Phasianidae
Source: Ensembl
GUUAGAUGCAGUGUGCCUUCAGAGGAUAUAAGUGGAGCAUCUGCGGAGGAUAGGAGCACCUGCAGAGGACAUAGAACACCUGAAGACGAUGGGAGGGCUGUCAGAAUGCAUAGUUAGUGCGCCAGCAGAGGUUAGAUGUAGUGCAUCAUCAGAGGAUUGAGGUGGAGCAUUGGCAGAGGACGGGAACACCUACAGAGAUCAAGGAGUGCCUGCAGAUGACGGGAGCGUUGUCAGAAGAUAGAGGUAGUGCGCCGGCAGAGUUUAGAGGUAGUGCAUCAUCAGAGGAUAUACGUGAAGCGUCUGCGGAGGACAAGAGCAUCUGCGGCGAACAGAGACCACUUGCAGAUGAUGGGAGCGUGGUUAGGAGAUAGAGGUAGUGCGCCAGCAGAGGUUAGAGACCACUUGCAGAUGAUGGGAGCGUGGUUAGGAGAUAGAGGUAGUGCGCCAGCAGAGGUUAGAGGCAUUGUGCCAUCAGAGGAUCGAGGUGGAGGGUCUGCGAAGGAUGGGAGCACCUGCAGCGAACAGGGAGCACCUGCGGAGGACAGGAGCGCUGUCAGAAGACAUAGUGCGCCGGCAGAGGUUAGAUGUAGUGCAUCAUCAGAGGAUCGAGUUGGAGCGUCUGCGGAGGACAAGACCAUCUGUGGAGAACAGAGACUGCUUACAGAUGAUGGGAGCGUGGUUAGAAGAUAUAGGUAUUGUGCCAGCAGAGGUUAGAGGUAGUGUGCCAUCAGAGGAUCAAGGUGGAGUGUCUGCGGAGGAUCGGAGUACCUCAUGAGAACAGGGAGCACCUGCGGAGGACAGGAGUGCUGUCAGCAGGCAUAGUUAGUGCGCCGGCAGAGGUUAGAUGUAGUGUGCCUUCAGAGGAUAGAUGUAAAGCACCUGUGGUUGAUGGGGUUACCUGCAGAGAACACAGAACAUCUGUAGAUGAUGGCAGCACUGUCAGAAUGCAUAGUUAGUGCCCCGGCAGAGGAUAGAGGUAGUGCACUCUCAGAGGAUAGAGCUGGAACUUCUGCGGAGGAUGGGAGCACCUGCGGAGAACAGGAAGCGAUUGCCAAGGACAGGAGCACCAUCAGAAGACAGAGUUAGUGCGCCGGCAGAGGUUACAUGUAGUGCAUCAUCAGAGGAUCGAGUUGGAGCGUUUGCGGAGGACGAGAGCAUCUGCGGAGAACAGAGACUGCUUGCAGAUGAUGGGAGCGUGGUUAGAAGAUAGAGGUAGUGCGCCGGCAGAGGUUAGAGGUAGUGUGCCAUCAGAGGAUCGAGGUGGAGGGUCUGCGGAGGAUCGUAGCACCUGCGGAGAACAGGGAGCACCUCUGGAGGACGGGAGCACUGUCAGAAGGCAUAGUUAGUGCGCCGGCAGAGGUUAGAUGUAGUGCAUCAUCAGAGGAUAAAGGUGGAGCAUCUGCAGAGGACAGGAGCACCUGUGGAGAACAAGGAGCGCCUGCAGAUGAUGGGUGCGCUGUCAGAAGAAAGAGGUAGCAUGCUGGCAGAGGUUAGAGGUAGUGCUCUGUCACUGGAUCGACGUUGAGGGUCUGCGGAGGAUGGGAGCACCUGUGGUGAACAGGGAGUGACUGUGGAGGACAGGAGCGCCGUCAGAAGACAGAAUUAGUGCGCCGGCAGAGGUUAUAUGUAGUGUGCCAUCACGGGAUAGAGGUGGAGCAUCUGCCGAGGACAGGAGCACCUGCGGAAAACAGGGAGCACCUGCAGAUGACGGGAGCACCAUCUGAAGAUAGAGGUCGUGCGCCGUCGGAGGUUAGCAGUAGCAUCCUGGCAGAGGAUAAGAGUUAGCGCGCUAUCGGAGGUUAGAGGUAGUGUGCUGUUCGUGGAUAGAGGUAGAAUGUCAGUGGUUGAAAGGAGCACCUGUGGAGAACAGGGAGUGAUUGCAGAGGAUGGGAUCACCGUCAGAAAACAGAGUUUGUUUGCUGGCAGAGGUUAGAUGUAGUGCGCCAUCCGAUGAUAGAGGUGGAGUUUCUACGGAGUACGGGAGCACCUGCAGAGAACAAGGUGUGCCUGCAAAUGACAGGAGCGCGAUCGGAAGAUAGAGGUAGAAGAUAGUGCACAGGCGGAGGUUACCGGUAGUGCGCUGUCGGAGCAUCAAGGUGGAGGUUCUGUUUCGCCAUCCGAUGAUAGAGGUGGAGUUUCUACGGAGGAUGGGAGCACCUGCGUAGAACAGGGAGCGCCUGCGGACGAUGGGAGCACCGUAAGAAAAUAGAAGUAAUUCGCUGGCUGGGUUUUGCAAUAGCAUGCCUUCAGAAGAUUGAGGUGGAUUGCCUCCAGAGGACGGUGAGCGCCUGUAGAGGACAGGAGCACCUGUGGAGAACAGGGAUUGCCUGCACAGUAUGGGAACAUCAUCAGAGUGUAGAGGUAGUGCACCGGCAGAGGAUUGAGGAAGUGCGCCAGCAGAGGAAAGAGGUGCGGCACCUGUGGGGGAUGGGAGCACCGUCAGAAGAUUGAGGUAGCACGCCAGCGGAGGUUAGAGGUAGCUUGCCAUUGGAGGAUGGAUGUAGUGCACCGGCCGAGGUUGGAUGUAGUGUUCUGUCAGAUGAUAGAGGUGGAGUGCCUGUGGAGGACAGCGAGUGCCUGCAGAGGACGAGAGCACCUGAGGAAAACAGGAAGCACCUGCGGAGGACUGGAGCGCCGUUAGAAGAUAGAGGUAUCUCGCUGGCUGAGUUUAGUGGUAACACACCAGCAACGGAUAGACGUAGUGUGCCGCCAGUGGAUAGAGGUAGAGCGCCAGCAGAAGAUAGGAGGUAGGACACUGGUGGAGGUUACAGAUAGUGCGCCGUCGGAGGAUAGAUGUGGAGCAUUUGCGGAGGAUGGGAGUAGCUGAGGAGAACAGGGAGUGCCGGCGGAUGACAGGAGCACUGUCAGAAGAUAGAGGUAGCGCGCCAUUGGAUGAUAGUGAUGGAGCAUCUGCGGAGGAUGGGAGCACCUGCGGAGAACAGGGAACGUCUGCAGAGAAUGGGAGCACCGUCAGACGAUAGAGGUAGCGCGUCAGUGGAGUUUAGAGAUAGCGCGCUUCCAGAAGACAGAGGUGGAGCACCUGCUGAGGGCGGCAAGCACCUGUAGAGGACGGGAGCACCUGCGGAGAAUAGGGAGCGCCUGCCGAGGACAGAGCACCGUCAGAAGAUAGAGGUAGCGCGCCAGCAGAGGAUAAGAGGUAGCACCCUGGCGGAGGUUACAGGUUGUGUGCCAUUGGAGGAUAGAUGUGGAGCACCAGCAGAGGACAGCGAGCGCCUGCAGAGGACGGGAGCAUCUGCAGAGAACAGGGAGCACCUGCGGCGGACGGGAGCGCCAUCGGAGUAUAGAUGCAACGCGCCGGCGGAGAUUAGAGGAAGCACACCUGCGGAGGUUACUAGCGCGCUGUCAGAGGAUAGAAGUGGAGUGCCAUUGGAGGACAGCGAGCACCUGCGGAGGACAGGAGCGCCAGCAGAAGAUAGAGGAAGUGCCACAUGCGCUUUCCCUCAUCCUAAUUUCUUUCUAUUAUUUUUUUCAUUAAAUAUAUAUUUCUCAAAUCAUU